UAGUAACUGCGAGUGAAGCGGGAAGAGCUCAAAUUUUAAAUCUGGCGGUCCUCGUGGUCGUCCGAGUUGUAAUCUAGAGAAGCGUUUUCCGCGCUGGACCGUGUACAAGUCUCCUGGAACGGAGCGUCAUAGAGGGUGAGAAUCCCGUCUCUGACACGGACUACCAGGGCUUUUGUGAUGCGCUCUCGACGAGUCGAGUUGUUUGGGAAUGCAGCUCAAAUUGGGUGGUAAAUUCCAUCUAAAGCUAAAUAUAGGCGAGAGACCGAUAGCGAACAAGUACCGUGAGGGAAAGAUGAAAAGAACUUUGGAAAGAGAGUUAAACAGUACGUGAAAUUGCUGAAAGGGAAACGCUUGAAGUCAGUCGCGUUGGCCGGGGAUCAGCCUUGCAAUCUUGUUGGGUGCAUUUCCUGGUUGACGGGUCAGCAUCAAUUUUGACCGUCGGAGAAGGGUUGAGGGAAUGUGGCAUCCUUCGGGGUGUGUUAUAGCCUUUGAUCGUAUGCGACGGUUGGGAUUGAGGAACUCAGCAUGACCCCUCGUGGGUUUGGGGCUUCGGCUCACAUCCAUGCUUAGGAUGCUGGCAUAAUGGCUUUAAGCGACCCGUCUUGAAACACGGACCAAGGAGUCUAACAUGCCCGCGAGUGUUUGGGUGUUUAAAACCCGAGCGCGUAAUGAAAGUGAAAGUUGAGACCUCUGUCGUGGAGGGCAUCGACGCCCGGACCAGAACUUUUGUGACGGCCCUGCGGUAGAGCGUGUAUGUUGGGACCCGAAAGAUGGUGAACUAUGCCUGAAUAGGGUGAAGCCAGAGGAAACUCUGG
This 815-nucleotide ribosomal RNA is filed under the name Serpula lacrymans. RNAcentral describes it as "LSU rRNA". It matches the Rfam family "Eukaryotic large subunit ribosomal RNA", at positions 81 to 867 of the family's 3401-position model. The record is from RNAcentral. Lineage: Eukaryota; Fungi; Basidiomycota; Agaricomycetes; Boletales; Serpulaceae.